This 497-nucleotide long non-coding RNA is filed under the name Setaria viridis. RNAcentral describes it as "long non-coding RNA (SVIR_LNC004898)". Lineage: Eukaryota; Viridiplantae; Streptophyta; Magnoliopsida; Poales; Poaceae. The record is from RNAcentral.
GUGGAGGUAGUGGUAUCUCUUGUAGAGGCUGAGGUGGUGCGAAGUUUACAGUUUGCGAGGCUUGCUGACUUUGAGAUUGAAAUUAUGGUGAUGGUUGCCACAUCAUAGUGGAUUGGUAGUUGAAGGAAGGAUUGGUAAAUGAAUUUGAAAGGUUAGGUGUAUAGGCGGUAUUGAUGUUCAUUUGUGGAUAAACUUAGCAGUAUGGCUGUUUGGCCAAAAAGAGGUGUUGUGGAUGGUUUUUGGCAUUGCGACUGCACUUUUUUCUUCAACUAUCCUUUUGAAAGUCUGUUUUUGUUUCUGGGCAGAAGUCGGUCGUGUGAUCCAGCUGCUUGCCAUGAAAUGUGCAAUAGGACAAUCGAGGUUGGUUGUUCUGAUUGUGCGGCCUCGGAGGUCCUCUGCCUCAGCCUCUCCCCUUGCCAGAGUGACUGCCUCUUUGCCCAUUGCCAUUACUUGUUUGCUAUUGUUGUUGGGGUUAUCUAUUGUGAUUUUGACUUUGU